RNAcentral lists this microRNA (19 nucleotides) under Ciona intestinalis (vase tunicate). RNAcentral describes it as "cin-miR-4000b-2-3p". The record is from miRBase by way of RNAcentral. Lineage: Eukaryota; Metazoa; Chordata; Ascidiacea; Phlebobranchia; Cionidae.
GUCUUUUUCAACAGGUUUC